GCAUUUACCUGGAGGCUUUGUGUUCCGCCAGACGCUUAGCCUAGUCUUUAAUAAAUGCCAUAGAAAAAUGCUUGAAUCGGACAUUAUUCCCACAUUGACUGCCAACAGUGCGGGAAUAUUAUAUGGUUCAAGCGAUAAU
Molecule: small nucleolar RNA, 139 nt
Filed under: Drosophila persimilis
Lineage: Eukaryota; Metazoa; Arthropoda; Insecta; Diptera; Drosophilidae
Description: snoRNA:GL27990
Source: RNAcentral